Molecule: ribosomal RNA, 253 nt
Filed under: uncultured bacterium
Lineage: Bacteria
Description: partial 16S ribosomal RNA
Rfam family: Bacterial small subunit ribosomal RNA
Source: RNAcentral
UACGUAGGGUGCAAGCGUUGUCCGGAUUUAUUGGGUUUAAAGGGUGCGUAGGCGGUUAAUUAAGUUAGGGGUGAAAGUUUUCGGCUUAACCGGAAAAUUGCCUUUAAUACUGGUUAGCUAGGAUGCGGUUGAGGUAAGCGGAAUUGGUGGUGUAGCGGUGAAAUGCUUAGAUACCAUCAGGAACACCGAUUGCGAAGGCAGCUUACUAAGCCGUUAUUGACGCUGAGGCACGAAAGCGUGGGGAUCAAACAGG